This 425-nucleotide ribosomal RNA is filed under the name uncultured bacterium. RNAcentral's name for it is "partial 16S ribosomal RNA". It matches the Rfam family "Bacterial small subunit ribosomal RNA", at positions 354 to 796 of the family's 1533-position model. The record is from RNAcentral.
GUGGGGAAUCUUAGACAAUGGGGGAAACCCUGAUCUAGCCAUGCCGCGUGAGCGAUGAAGGCCUUAGGGUUGUAAAGCUCUUUCAGCUGGGAAGAUAAUGACGGUACCAGCAGAAGAAGCCCCGGCUAACUCCGUGCCAGCAGCCGCGGUAAUACGGAGGGGGCUAGCGUUGUUCGGAAUUACUGGGCGUAAAGCGCACGUAGGCGGAUCAGAAAGUCAGAGGUGAAAUCCCAGGGCUCAACCUUGGAACUGCCUUUGAAACUCCUGGUCUUGAGGUCGAGAGAGGUGAGUGGAAUUCCGAGUGUAGAGGUGAAAUUCGUAGAUAUUCGGAGGAACACCAGUGGCGAAGGCGGCUCACUGGCUCGAUACUGACGCUGAGGUGCGAAAGCGUGGGGAGCAAACAGGAUUAGAUACCCUAGUAGUCC